This 24-nucleotide non-coding RNA is filed under the name Arabidopsis thaliana (thale cress). Lineage: Eukaryota; Viridiplantae; Streptophyta; Magnoliopsida; Brassicales; Brassicaceae. The record is from RNAcentral.
GAUCUCCUUCUUGUGCCUAUCCUC